AGAGUUUGAUCCUGGCUCAGGAUGAACGCUGGCGGCGUGCCUAACACAUGCAAGUCGAACGAGAACUCUAGGAUGAGACUUCGGUGGAUUCUUGGAAAUUCUAGUGGCGGACGGGUGAGUAACGCGUGGGUAACCUGCCCUUAAGAGGGGGAUAACAGAGAGAAAUUUCUGCUAAUACUCCAUAUGCUUACAGAGCUGCAUGGCUCAGUGAGGAAAUGAAUUUCGCUUAAGGAUGGACCCGCGUUUGAUUAGCCAGUUGGUGGGGUAACGGCCUACCAAAGCUACGAUCAAUAGCCGGCCUGAGAGGGUGAACGGCCACAUUGGGACUGAGACACGGCCCAAACUCCCACGGGAGGCAGCAGUGGGGAAUAUUGCACAAUGGAGGAAACUCUGAUGCAGCAACGCCGCGUGAGUGAAGAAGUAUUUCGGUAUGUAAAGCUCUAUCGAUGGGAAAUAUAAUGAAGGUACCCAAGUAAGAAGCCCCGGCUAACUACGUGCCAGCAGCCGCGGUAAUACGUAGGGGGCAAGCGUUAUCCGGAUUUACUGGGUGUAAAGGGAGCGUAGAUGGAAAGGCAAGUUUGAAGUGAAAGCCUGCGGCUCAACCGCAGAACUGCUUUGAAAACUGUUUAUCUAGAGUACUGGAGAGGUAAGAGGAAUUUCUAGUGUAGUGGUAAAAUGCGUAGAUAUUAGGAAGAACACCGGAGGCGAAGGCGUCUUACUGGACAGAUACUGACAUUGAGGCUCGAAAGCGUGGGUAGCAAACAGGAUUAGAUACCCUGGUAGUCCACGCUGUAAACGAUGAAUACUAGGUGUUGGACAGCGUAAGCUGAUCAGUGCCGUCGCUAACGCAAUAAGUAUUCCACCUGGGGAGUACGUUCGCAAGAAUGAAACUCAAAGGAAUUGACGGGGACCCGCACAAGCGGUGGAGCAUGUGGUUUAAUUCGAUGCAACGCGAAGAACCUUACCUGGUCUUGACAUCCCAUUGAAUAGUUAUGUAAUGUAAUUAGUCUUCGGACAGUGGAGACAGGUGGUGCAUGGUUGUCGUCAGCUCGUGUCGUGAGAUGUUAGGUUAAGUCCUGCAACGAGCGCAACCCUUAUUGAUAGUAGCCAAUAUUUAGUUAGGCACUCUAUUGAGACUGCCGAGGUUAACUCGGAGGAAGGUGGGGAUGACGUCAAAUCAUCAUGCCCCUUAUGAUCAGGGCUACACACGUGCUACAAUGGCGGAGAACAAAGAGAAGCGAAAGAGUGAUCUGGAGCAAAUCUCAAAAAAGCCGUCUCAGUUCGGAUUGUAGUCUGCAACUCGACUACAUGAAGCUGGAAUCGCUAGUAAUCGCGAAGAAGAGUGUCGCGGUGAAUACGUUCCCGGGUCUUGUACACACCGCCCGUCACACCAUGGGAGUUGGAAAUGCCCAAAGUAGGUGUAGAGCCUCCUAAGGCAGGUCUAAUGAACUGGGGUGAAGUCGUAACAAGGUAGCCGUAUCGGAAGGUGCGGCUGGAUCACCUCCUUUCU
This 1510-nucleotide ribosomal RNA is filed under the name uncultured rumen bacterium. RNAcentral's name for it is "bacterial SSU rRNA". It matches the Rfam family "Bacterial small subunit ribosomal RNA". The record is from RNAcentral.